Vespula pensylvanica (western yellowjacket) is the source of this 2631-nucleotide long non-coding RNA. RefSeq lists it as uncharacterized. NCBI's taxonomy places the organism in Eukaryota, Metazoa, Arthropoda, Insecta, Hymenoptera, Vespidae. The transcript is spliced from 4 exons. The record is from RefSeq and is a predicted model, not a curated record.
UCGAGUUUCGCGAUAUUCGACGUAUACCUAGAGGGACAACCACCCUUGCCACCCCCGUCGUUCACUCGAACGCGAAUGUGCGAGCGGUCGGGCUUCUAUAACGUACGGCGAGAGUAUGCGGAGGGAGCGAGAGACAGAUUAAUGUGACCCCGUCACCGUUCGAACAAAGCUUCGCACAAUGGCCGCACACACCGGGGACAGUGGACGGUUGCAACGACGCUCGCAACGACCUUCGCUUACGGAUGGCUGGGAUGGUAGCUUUGCUGGGAGGAUCGGACGAAUGGCACUCGGCUGAUACCAAGCGGACAAACCCAAGCUGGAUGCUAGAAUCACCUCUUAAGAAUACACAUGCCCCAGAAGGACGAACGAACGAAAUGGUAGAAUUAGUAUUCUCUUAAGAAAAUAAAAAUGACCAAUGGACGAUAAUGAAUGGACAUUUGGAUUAGAAUUGACAGGUUUGUAUAUCAUGAAAUAAAUCGAUGAAUAUCGGAACGAUUUUGAGCUAUCCGACAAAUCGACAGAGAAAGAUACUCGAUAAGGGGAUACACGGAGUUUCCAUUCGUCUUACCUUAGCGAAUCGGAGGUCUGCCGGCUGUCAGGAUAAAGGAUGUUUAGGACAGUUGGCUGAGUUCGACGAUCGAUGAACCUCUUCUUCCUGUCAAAACACCACAUACAACGGUUACCGUUCCUUUUAAGAGAUAUGGACAACUCUCGAGGGAAGAAAUUGUAGGACGAUGAAUCAAGAGUGAAAAGGUGUCGAACGAUGGCUGUCGGCCAUUAUUGUCGUUCCUUUUUCGACUAUAAUACGUCUAUAUUUUCGUUAUUGCAAUGGUCGAAGAAAAGACAUUUAGUAAUUGUUUUCGCGUUAUCCGUUUGUUUGAAGUUCUGAAAGGACAACGAAAAGAGAAAAGGAAGAAAGAUAGAACGUCCCUCUGGCUCGAUUUUACGCAAGAAGAACGAACGAAGCGUAGCUCUGCUUUCUCGAGGAUAAAAGAAGCCGAUAUGGUCGAUAUACGAGCGUAACUCUUAUCGCGAAGAAGCCGGCGCGUGGAAGAAGAAACAUCCCUCGUAAAUAUAAAAGGUAUAAAAGCUACCCUUUUGAUGGAGUGCCUUCUUAAGGGUCAAACUGGUAUCGGCCAGUACGUUCACCGCAAGAUGACCAAGAGGAUCGAGUAGAAAGGUCAACGGAUAUGCGGAGAGUAGGCCUUCGAAUCGUGCUUAACCACCAUUAUUUUACGAUCUUCGUAUUCUGUUUAAAAUCUAUCCCAUAAAGUACAAAGCACACUGUCAUUCGAUUUAGCGCGUAUCUCCGAGACGUGGAAUUAAUUUUAUACACGAUAUAAGUAAUCGAUACGGUGUAUUGCACAAAGCACAUAAUUUUAUCCAGGAUAAUUUAUAUAUAAGACCGUAGGGUUUUAUUAUAAAAUUUUCUUUAGAAAAGUUCGACGUAUAUAAAUUGUAACGAUCGAGAAGAGUUUUUAUUUAAGGGUGACACAAGUUCGCUGAACCGCGUAUCUAUAAUAAAAUACUUCGUAAUUCGAUAUGUUUUUUCGAAUUGUUAACAAACGACAUCGAACAUGAAUAAGAAAUACCGAUUGGAAAUUCGAGGAUGGUAGAGCCGAUAUCGUUUUCAUUUUCACCCCCUGGCAAUAUAGAAAGCUAUUUGUCUCCGUAGACGAUUCGAACGGAUACGAUGCGAUGAUAGAAAGCAUCAUCGAAAUUCAGAAGAAAGCGUCGCAAGAUAUUCCCAUUUCCUACGCGCCAUUCUGGUCAUAUGGUAUCGCGUGUCACCCUGUUUGCUUAAGGAUAUCAACGAGAAACGCAGCAGUAGCUCUUGCUCGCCAGCUAGGGGUGAAUAACUUAUGUUUACCCGCAUGAAUUCUCAUAUUCAGGGUGAUUUAAAGUUGCAACUUUUCACGGCACUAAGCGAUAACAAGCUUGAAUAGACCUGUCAUUUAAACGGCGGUCUCUUAAAAAAUCACUUUUCAAGAUUUCACUUUCUCUUUCUUUCACAUACACCGAUAUAUCCAAAUAUUUGAAAAAAGGAAAAUAUAUCAGAAUUUUAAGUGCGAACUCGUGCUCGUUCGUUUAGAUUCUAAACAUAUUUAAAUAUCCGAGGGAAAUGGACGUCUUUUAAAUCACUCCUGAUAUAAUUAUACAUGGCAAGGAACGAUGGUGACUAUUUAUGGGAAAUGUAUGUUGGGAAAGGAUAUUAAAUAAAAAUAAUUUCAAUAAACCGCAUAGUCGGAGUAUUCACGAACGAGCAAACGGUAGAGAGUGCGUAUAAGCCGGAGGAUAUAAAAGGUUAGCAUAGCUAAUGUAUACGGUGGAGCGAGCAGUCAACUCGAGUCUCGUCAUAUCCGUUGCACUUUUACAUAGUCGAUCUUCAAGACCGUAGAUGAUGUAUUUUGUUAAUGCACCGUAUGCGUCAUAGAAACGAUAUGCGAAUGUAUAUCAAGGGAGACAUACCACUGAGACGUUAUAUUUUUGGAAAGUAACCAUCCAGCCACAUCUAGUGCGUCGGCCAUAAAGCCGUUUUAUUUCUUCGGGGGCGGUUUUAAAAUUCCACUACUGAAAUGGCACGUGUGUGAGGGUAGGAAAAGGAGUAGGAGGAGGAAGAGAAAAAGAGAG